RNAcentral lists this long non-coding RNA (756 nucleotides) under Anser brachyrhynchus (Pink-footed goose). RNAcentral describes it as "lncRNA (ENSABRG00000017778.1)". Lineage: Eukaryota; Metazoa; Chordata; Aves; Anseriformes; Anatidae. The record is from RNAcentral.
GUUGGAUUGUUUAAUUUGCAGCUGUGAACAGUACAAGAGCAUUUCUUAUUGUUGCUGUCAUCCAUUGACUGACUGUCCCACAAAGACUCCUUAUAUGCUUUAAAGGAAGAUAUUUCCAUGAGCUUUAUUAACUAUUGCAAUCCUUGAUGGGAUGAAUAGCCAUUAGAUCUUAGAGAAGAAAGACACCUUCCUCCAUGCUUCUGCUCAUAUAGAGACGCUGAAUACAUCACAUUGCCAUCUGUGGACAGGUUUAAACUCAAGAUCUGAAUCCCACACCACUCACACUGUGAACCAGGAUGGAGGAACCUUUUACUUGUGGAGGACCAGCCCUCUGAGACACCCUUAGUAGACUCACAUUAUGACGUAUUUCAGCAGUAUCAAGUAAUAAUUGGAGACCGUACAAGAUUUUCCUUAUUCACCGCUAAACCUGUAAAGAAGGCACUUCAUUCUGAGUUUUGAGUCCAUGCCAGCACAGUGAGGACAUUUUGAAGUUCAGACCAGAACCAGCACUGCUGGCAAGGACACAGCCAAAUGCACCUGGCGAUCUCAGAGGAACAACCACACUGAAUGCAAAGGGCUUCAGCAGUACAUACUGCCAGAAUACAGGAUGGGCUUCUAGGAUUAAAGGAAAUAACAUACAAAUAUGCUGAAAGUACUGUUCUCACAUCCUUCCAACUCACUUCCUACAGCACUUGCUAUUUAAGGCUCAAAAAAAUUAUCUGCAAGUUCCAGAACUGCCCCCUUUGCAAAUCUGCA